AGGACACCACAAAGUGAUGUAAGUGCUAUGCCUGCUUGUUUGUUGUUUUCCCCUCAGCCACUAUUCUCAAAUGUGUCACCAAAUGCAGAACUUCCUUUGUCACAUUUUCAGGAACUAAUAAACCAGAAAGCAGCAAGUAGGCAGACACCUGUAGCUUUGGAGGCCUCGGCUCUCUGUGAGGGCAGCGUGUUUACCGAUGGUUAACCAGGCAGUGCCGGCACACGUGAUUCAUCCUGCUGUUUUGUGAUCUUCAGCGCAGGAGGCUUUAGCUCUGAAAGAUUGUCCCCCGAUAGCUGCAUCACUGAAAUAAAGGACACCUCCAUCACCAGCGACCGCUCACAGACGAGCAAUCCUCAGGAACAGACGGGGCCUCAAUGGCACCUCCUCUGUCCAUGAUGGCGUGUUGAAGGGUCAGUCCUGUGCAGGUAUCUCCUGCUGCUGGCUGUUCAGCAUUGCGAUGGCCAUGAUGUAUCUGGAUGGCACUCUGUCUCUCAGCAUCAUCUCCUGUGGUGUUCUCUGGGCCUCAGGUCUGACAACACGGAUGUCACCUAGCCUCAGCACUGGGACUAUGUGUGUCUCUGUAUCAACUCCUGUCCUCUUAGGAAGGUUCCUUCCUGCCUCUGCUGAGAACAUCGCCAGUGAAGAUAGGUUUUCUAGUAAACCCACACGUAGUUGUCUACAGUCGUUUGAUCUUAUUCAUAAAAGAUUCCGUGGGGGCUGAUCUUGGCUGUCUGUACCUGGAAAAGAGGGCAACUCAAUCGAGGAACGUCGUCAGAUUGACCUGUGGUUUUCCUGAUUGCUGAUUGACACAGGAGGGAUGGGUGGACCCCACUGUGGGUGAUGCUUUCCCUGGGCAGGUGGGCCUGGGCUGCAGAAGGAAGGGGGUGGAAUGUGUGCCUGGGAGCAGGCCAGGAGCCAGCUUCCUCCAUCUUCUCUGCCUCUGUCCCUGUCCCCAGGCUCCUGUCCCCAGGCUCCUGUGUCUGCCCCCAUCCUUGUUUUCAGGCUCUGGUCUUGGCUGCCUUUGAUGGUGGGCUGUAACCUAUAAGUUAAAUAAACACUUUCCCACCCCA
This is a long non-coding RNA of Mesocricetus auratus (golden hamster), 1070 nucleotides long. RefSeq lists it as uncharacterized. The transcript has 2 exons. NCBI's taxonomy places the organism in Eukaryota, Metazoa, Chordata, Mammalia, Rodentia, Cricetidae. The record is from RefSeq and is a predicted model, not a curated record.